Molecule: ribosomal RNA, 1243 nt
Filed under: uncultured prokaryote
Description: partial 16S ribosomal RNA
Rfam family: Bacterial small subunit ribosomal RNA
Source: RNAcentral
AGUCGAACGGUAACAUUUCUAGCUUGCUAGAAGAUGACGAGUGGCGGACGGGUGAGUAAUACUUAGGAACAUGCCUUGGGGUGGGGGAUAACUAUUGGAAACGAUAGCUAAUACCGCAUAACGUCUACGGACCAAAGGGGGCUUUUAUUAGCUCUCGCCUAAAGAGUGGCCUAAGCGAGAUUAGCUUGUUGGUGAGGUAAAGGCUCACCAAGGCGACGAUCUCUAGCUGUUCUGAGAGGAAGAUCAGCCACACUGGGACUGAGACACGGCCCAGACUCCUACGGGAGGCAGCAGUGGGGAAUAUUGCACAAUGGGCGCAAGCCUGAUGCAGCCAUGCCGCGUGUGUGAAGAAGGCCUUCGGGUUGUAAAGCACUUUCAGUUGUGAGGAAAAGUUGGUGGUUAAUACCCAUCAGCCGUGACGUUAGCAACAGAAGAAGCACCGGCUAACUCCGUGCCAGCAGCCGCGGUAAUACGGAGGGUGCGAGCGUUAAUCGGAAUUACUGGGCGUAAAGCGCACGCAGGCGGUCUGUUAAGCUAGAUGUGAAAGCCCCGCGCUCAACGUGGGAGGGUCAUUUAGAACUGGCAGACUAGAGUCUUGGAGAGGGGAGUGGAAUUCCAGGUGUAGCGGUGAAAUGCGUAGAUAUCUGGAGGAACAUCAGUGGCGAAGGCGACUCCCUGGCCAAAGACUGACGCUCAUGUGCGAAAGUGUGGGUAGCGAACAGGAUUAGAUACCCUGGUAGUCCACACCGUAAACGAUGUCUACUAGCUGUUUGUGGAUUUAAUCCGUGGUAGCGCAGCUAACGCUAUAAGUAGACCGCCUGGUGAGUACGGCCGCAAGGUUAAAACUCAAAUGAAUUGACGGGGGCCCGCACAAGCGGUGGAGCAUGUGGUUUAAUUCCAACGCGAGAACCUUACCUACACUUGACAUACAGAGAACUUACAGAGAUGGUUUGGUGCCUUCGGAACUCUGAUACUGUGCUGCAUGGCCUGUCGUCAGCUCGUGUUGUGAGAUGUGGGUAAGUCCCGCACGAGCGCACCCCUAUUCUUAGGUGCUAGCAGGUAUGCUGAAACUCUAAGGAACUGCCGUGGAUAACCGGAGAGUGGGGACGACGUCAGUCAUCAUGCCUUACGGUAGCUACCACGUGCCUCAUGGCGCAUACAGAGGUCUGCAAUCGGGAGUACGCAAUCCUUAAGGGCGGUCGAUUCGAAUGAACUGUCCACUCGACUCCUUGUAAGAACUCGG